Molecule: transfer RNA, 69 nt
Filed under: Sarcocheilichthys hainanensis (Hainan gudgeon)
Lineage: Eukaryota; Metazoa; Chordata; Actinopteri; Cypriniformes; Gobionidae
Description: tRNA-Ser
Source: RNAcentral
AAGGAAGGACAGAAAUCAGUAAGAACUGCUAAUUCUUAUGCACCGCAGUUAAACUCCGCGGCUUCCUUG